RNAcentral lists this long non-coding RNA (2429 nucleotides) under Homo sapiens (human). RNAcentral describes it as "HSALNT0385920". The record is from RNAcentral. Lineage: Eukaryota; Metazoa; Chordata; Mammalia; Primates; Hominidae.
GCAGGGAUCCGCGGAUGCUGUGACAAGGGGCGGGCGAGGGAGGGCUCCGCGUCAGGGGCAGACAGCUCCAGGUGCUGGAGGCUGCCGCGCGGAGAGGUCCGCCCAGCCAGGAUGUGCGUUGUCCUGAGAAUCGAAUUACCCGGAACCCCAGAGCUCACCCUCUCUGAAGGAGAGCAGGUGCCUCCUGAGAGCAGGGCUUCUCUACCUUGGGGCACUAUGAACAUUCUGAGUGGGGCGCCCUGAACGAGUGCCCAGAUGCUUGUGAGGCCCAGAUCUUGGGGUGUGCAGCCAGGAAGGGCUCUGCUAGCUUUCCCACCUCCCUCCUGACCUCUUCUGCCCCUCACUGGACCCAGCCCGUUGGCUUCAGGAUGGGCCCCACGGGACAUGCUUUCAUGGAACCUGAGGAAAGAAUGCACUUACAACAGCGCCGGGAGCACAGAGGCUUCCCACUACCCUUUCCGAGAAGCACGUCUAUUUUCUCUAAUUUAUUCAGUGCCGCUGUGCGUGUGUGGCCUCUCAGGUAAAGAGUGAUUUCAGCUAACAUGCACCAUGCCUGCCACCUACCUGUACUGGAGAUUUCAGACUGAUGCCUCCCUUGGGUCUCCAGGGAACUUUCUGAUUCAAAUUCCAUUUGACACAGAUUCUGAAAGUGUGCCUUGCGAGGGCCCUGGCCUGCCAUCCUCAUUAUACUCAGAAGCCCAGAAGUAGCAGUGGCAGGGGCACCCUGGAAGCCCCGGGGUUCUCAUUAGGUGACAGAUGCCACCACAGGCCUCUGCCAUUUGCCAAGCUUCCUAUUACAAGCCACCUGGGAACAUUCACUCAGGGCUUUUUCAGACAGAGCUGCACAUCUGGCACUAUCUUGAGUCUGUGCCUCUGGGGACCCCGUCUGUACUCAGUUUCCCUAUCUGCAAAAUGAAAAACAUAAUACUUAUUUCUCAGGGAUGAAUAGAGAUAAUUCAGCAUGUUUUUCAAAUUUCAGUGUGUUGCCUGCGCCCUCAUGAGUUUUACUAUGACCACAUGCCACCUGUACCAUUAUGUUUAUUUUAUUUUUUAGAGAUGGAAGGUCUCAUUCUGUUGCCCAGGCUGUAGGGCAGUGGUGCUAUCCGUAGUUCACUGCAUCUUCAAACUCCCGGGCUCAAGGGAUCCUCUCACCUUAGUCUCUAGUACUACAGGUACACACUACCAAACUUGGCUGACUCCUUUAUUUAUAUAGAGAUGAGGUCUCGCUAUGUUGCCUAGGCAGCUCUGGAACUCCUGGCCUCAAGCCAUACUCCCAUCUUGGCCUCCCAAACUGUUGGGAUUACAGACAUAAGCCACCACACCCAACUUCAUUAUUUAUUUAAUUAAUAUUUCCUUAAAUGAAUCCAUGUUGAAAGACUUGAGCUGAUCUAUUUCAAAAGGAAAUUUUUAUAUUAUUAGCAUUAGAGGAAAAUUGAUAUCACUUGUCACAAAUGCAAAGCAAUAAGAAAAGACAAAGAAGACGACGUCAUAACUGUUUAUCUGUGUACCAACUAAACUCAUGAUGAAGAGCCAUGCUGUGCCUCCUGUGCUUUUGGAAGCACAUGAAUAUAAAGGAUGCCUAGGGUCUGGCACAUAGUAAGUACUCAAUGAAUGAUCACUGCUAUGAAGAAAAUGAGGCCAACGUGGUGUCGGCCCUUGGAAACAUUUCUCUGAGUUGGUCAAGGGGAACAAUUUUGCUCCAAGAAACUGUCAUAUUUAUUCUUCUCUGAUAAUUAGAGCUCCACAAUUUAUCAUGGUCGUAAGUUGCAAAAAUGGCAACAACCAUCACUCUUCCCAAUAAGAAGUGAAGUCCAUUUCCUGCCCCUAAAAUCUGGUCUGGCCUUGUGACUUGCUUCAGCCAAUGGAACAUAGCAGGAGUGCUGGUAUACCAGUUCUAAGCCUAGAGGAAGAGGCUUUCCAAGGGGCCUGACAGCUUCUGCUUUCUCGGGCCCCUGCUAUCACCAUGUGAACAAGCCUGGGUUGGCCUGCUGCUGGAUGAGAGGCCAUGUAGAACCCAGCCAAGGUGUCCCAGUUAAGGCCAUCUCAGAGCAGCCAGCACCCAGCACCCAGCAGCCUGCCAUUGGUCUCCAGAUGCACGCAUGAGCCCAACCAAGAUCAGCCAAUCCUGCCUCAGACCAGCAGAACUGUGCAGCCCAGCCUGAGAUUUGUGAGGAGUGACAAAUGGUGUUUUCAGCUUCUAGAUGUUGGGGAGAUUUGUUAUGCAGCAACAGCUGGCCUUCCCAUUUUGUCUUGUUUGUUGCGAUGGUGCCCAGUCAUAGCAGCUCCAUUUGUGCUAGAAUUAUUUAUCUAUUUCCUCUUCUUAAUUGUCUUCCCUUCCUUUUUCACUCCUUUGUGUGUGUUUUUGAAAGACACCUCAAGUAUCUUUGGAAAGGAGCUGGAUAUAGAUAAUAAAUUGAAAAUCGAACUGA